CCUACGGGAGGCUGCAGUGGGGAAUAUUGGACAAUGGGGGCAACCCUGAUCCAGCCAUGCCGCGUGUGUGAAGAAGGCCCUCGGGUUGUAAAGCACUUUCAGUGAGGAAGAACGCCUGGUGGUUAAUACCCAUCAGGAAAGACAUCACUCACAGAAGAAGCACCGGCUAACUCCGUGCCAGCAGCCGCGGUAAUACGGAGGGUGCGAGCGUUAAUCGGAAUUACUGGGCGUAAAGCGCGCGUAGGUGGCUUGAUAAGCCGGUUGUGAAAGCCCCGGGCUCAACCUGGGAACGGCAUCCGGAACUGUCAAGCUAGAGUGCAGGAGAGGAAGGUAGAAUUCCCGGUGUAGCGGUGAAAUGCGUAGAGAUCGGGAGGAAUACCAGUGGCGAAGGCGGCCUUCUGGAUUGACACUGACACUGAGGUGCGAAAGCGUGGGUAGCAAACAGGAUUAGAUACCCUAGUAGUC
Molecule: ribosomal RNA, 465 nt
Filed under: Vreelandella stevensii
Lineage: Bacteria; Pseudomonadati; Pseudomonadota; Gammaproteobacteria; Oceanospirillales; Halomonadaceae
Description: partial 16S ribosomal RNA
Rfam family: Bacterial small subunit ribosomal RNA
Source: RNAcentral